RNAcentral lists this ribosomal RNA (448 nucleotides) under uncultured bacterium. RNAcentral's name for it is "bacterial SSU rRNA". It matches the Rfam family "Bacterial small subunit ribosomal RNA", at positions 29 to 509 of the family's 1533-position model. The record is from RNAcentral.
AACGAACGCUGGCGGCAGGCCUAACACAUGCAAGUCGAACGCCGUAGCAAUACGGAGUGGCAGACGGGUGAGUAACGCGUGGGAACAUACCCCUCGGUUCGGAAUAACUCAGGGAAACUUGAGCUAAUACCGGAUACGUCCGAGGUUUUAAUCGACCUUGGAGAAAGAUUUAUCGCCGGAGGAUUGGCCCGCGUCUGAUUAGCUUGUUGGUGAGGUAAUGGCUCACCAAGGCGACGANCAGUAGCUGGUCUGAGAGGAUGAUCAGCCACAUUGGGACUGAGACACGGCCCAAACUCCUACGGGAGGCAGCAGUGGGGAAUAUUGGACAAUGGGCGAAAGCCUGAUCCAGCCAUGCCGCGUGAGUGAUGAAGGCCUUAGGGUUGUAAAGCUCUUUGCCCGGGAAGAUAAUGACGGUACCGGGAGAAUAAGCCCCGGCUAACUACGUGCC